GACGAACGCUGGCGGCGUGCCUAAUACAUGCAAGUAGGACGCAGUUGCGAACGGGUGAGUAACGCGUAGGUAACUGCCUAUUAGAGGGGGAUAACUAUUGGAAACGAUAGCUAAUACCGCAUACUAGUAGAUGGACCUGCGUUGUAUUAGCUAGUAGGUAGGGUAAUGGCCUACCUAGGCGAAGAUACAUAGCCGACCUGGGUGGGUGAUCGGCUCCGCCGGGACUGGGACACCGCCCAGACUCCGACGGGGGGCAGCAGUAGGGAAUUUUCGGCAAUUGGGGGAACCCUGACCGAGCAACGCCGCGUGAGUGAAGAAGGUUUUCGGAUCGUAAAGCUCUGUUGUUUAGGAAGCGGUACUUAACCAGAAAGGGACGGCUAACUACGUGCCAGCAGCCGCGGUAAUUC
This 407-nucleotide ribosomal RNA is filed under the name uncultured bacterium. RNAcentral's name for it is "partial 16S ribosomal RNA". It matches the Rfam family "Bacterial small subunit ribosomal RNA", at positions 28 to 526 of the family's 1533-position model. The record is from RNAcentral.